CACAAGCCCAGGUCAAUUGGUGGCAAGUCCUCAGCACAGCAGGCUUUAAGGAGCACCUUAGGGUUCAGAGCAGACAUUUCCCUUUUUCUGCCUUGAUGUAGCAGAUCUCCUCCAGCAGCCUUGGCUGUGAUCUCCGCUUCCCUCACGCUCUGUCUUGGCUAUCUGCCUGCUCUCCUGCUGUCCUCAUCUGUAGGAGCUGUGCAGCUCAGCAAGAAACUAUUCUUCGUGUGCCCAUCACAGCACUGGAAGAAAAAGAAUACUGAGAGAGUUGCCUGAAAAGCAAAAGCAGCUCUUGUCGCAAUGCCAAAUUUAUUCUUUUAAGGGCUUCUGAUUUUACAAAAGGAAAUCCCCCAAACCAAAAGUUAAAGAUGAAAAAGCACCAUGUCUUAAAAUGGACAGAUCUGGGCUUUUCCUGCUACCUUGAAAAUCAUGCAAGAAUCAUGAGAAAUUCCCCCCGGUUGGAGCUGAUUGGUUUUUCAGACACCAGUAUGUUCUACCUCAAGUAAAGAGGAAUCUUGAGAAAAUGAAUCCUUCUUCAUCUGUGAAAUGAAGACAGAACAGAUAUCUCCAAUGAGUCUGUUAUUGAAUACUUCAGAAGUG
This 600-nucleotide long non-coding RNA is filed under the name Chinchilla lanigera (long-tailed chinchilla). RNAcentral describes it as "lncRNA (ENSCLAG00000026261.1)". The record is from RNAcentral. Lineage: Eukaryota; Metazoa; Chordata; Mammalia; Rodentia; Chinchillidae.